Molecule: long non-coding RNA, 672 nt
Organism: Heterocephalus glaber (naked mole-rat)
Lineage: Eukaryota; Metazoa; Chordata; Mammalia; Rodentia; Bathyergidae
Source: Ensembl
UGAGCAUUAGUUACUCAGGAGGGUGUUUAGUGAGCAGACAGCCUCUUGGAUUAGAGAUUGUUAUACAAAUGUCAUUCUUUAUCAUCAUCAUCUAACUUUUCAAGAGCAGAGUUAAGAAAGAAACUUUCCUAAUAUCACCAAUUAUCCAGUUGAAUCAUGAAACACAAAAGAAAAAUAAAACAUCUGGAACCUUCAUUGUUAAACUAAACAGAAAAGAGACCAAGAGACUUGUGGAAGUCUCCAGAAGAUGCUGCUGAGACACCGAGGAAUGUCCUAGCCUCCAGUCAGGGAGGAGAGAAUUCCACAGACACAGAGCUUUGCCUUUGUGUCUCUUCAGCAACCCUGCAAGUUGCUGCAACACAUGAAGGCAGGGAGAUCUGAAUGUGACCUGAACUUGGACGAUAGGCACCCCAGAGCUGCUUGUCCAAGUCUUGGAUCCUCUUAGAUGUCUCUAUAUCAAGGCAUGAUGGAGAUAAAGAAUUUCUCUUUUAAUUCACACUCCCCUUCAACUUCCUCCUCGGUCAGCACCCCAUCAUGGUCCUCAGAAUCUUCUGAAAAGAAAAAGGUCAUGAACCUUUACUACAUCCGUGUCCCCCAAAAAAGGGGUGUGGCUCUCUUAGAGGAUGCAAAAGAAUUAGAGCCCCUCCCCAAGAGAGGAUAAAAACAGCCAGC